UACGUAGGGCGCAAGCGUUGUCCGGAAUUAUUGGGCGUAGAGAGCUCGUAGGCGGUUUGUCGCGUCUGCUGUGAAAACCUAAGGCUCAACCUUGGGCUUGCAGUGGGUACGGGCAGACUAGAGUGCGGUAGGGGUGACUGGAAUUCCUGGUGUAGCGGUGGAAUGCGCAGAUAUCAGGAGGAACACCGAUGGCGAAGGCAGGUCACUGGGCCGCAACUGACGCUGAGGAGCGAAAGCAUGGGGAGCGAACAGG
This 253-nucleotide ribosomal RNA is filed under the name uncultured bacterium. RNAcentral's name for it is "partial 16S ribosomal RNA". It matches the Rfam family "Bacterial small subunit ribosomal RNA", at positions 524 to 776 of the family's 1533-position model. The record is from RNAcentral.